GUCUUUGAAAAUCAAAGACUAGCAGUAAGAAAUAUUUGCGGCCUUUCACGCCGUCAACAGCGGUUCAAAUCCGCUUGGGGACGCCA
This 86-nucleotide transfer RNA is filed under the name Bilophila wadsworthia. RNAcentral describes it as "tRNA-Glu". Lineage: Bacteria; Pseudomonadati; Thermodesulfobacteriota; Desulfovibrionia; Desulfovibrionales; Desulfovibrionaceae. The record is from RNAcentral.